This 254-nucleotide ribosomal RNA is filed under the name uncultured prokaryote. Its description in RNAcentral is "partial 16S ribosomal RNA". It matches the Rfam family "Bacterial small subunit ribosomal RNA", at positions 524 to 777 of the family's 1533-position model. The record is from RNAcentral.
UACGUAGGGGGCAAGCGUUGUUCGGAAUUACUGGGCGUAAAGGGCGCGUAGGCGGCACAGCAAGUCGGGAGUGAAAGCCCGGGGCUCAACCCCGGAAUGGCUUUCGAAACUGCUGAGCUAGAGUACAGAAGGGGCAACCGGAAUUCCCAGUGUAGCGGUGAAAUGCGUAGAUAUUGGGAAGAACACCUGAGGCGAAGGCGGGUUGCUGGGCUGAUACUGACGCUGAGGCGCGAAAGCCAGGGGAGCAAACGGGA